GACGAACGCUGGCGGCGUGCUUAACACAUGCCAGUCGAACGGAAAGGCCCUGCUUUUGUGGGGUGCUCGAGUGGCGAACGGGUGAGUAACGCGUGAGUAACCUGCCCUUGACUUUGGGAUAACUUCAGGAAACUGGGGCUAAUACCGGAUAGGAGCCCCUGCUGCAUGGUGGGGGUUGGAAAGUUUCGGCGGUUGGGGAUGGACUCGCGGCUUAUCAGCUUGUUGGUGGGGUAGUGGCUUACCAAGGCUUUGACGGGUAGCCGGCCUGAGAGGGUGACCGGCCACAUUGGGACUGAGAGACGGCCCAGACUCCUACGGGGGGCAGCAGUGGGGAAUAUUGCACAAUGGGCGGAAGCCUGAUGCAGCAACGCCGCGUGCGGGAUGACGGCCUUCGGGUUGUAAACCGCUUUCGCCUGUGACGAAGCGUGAGUGACGGUAAUGGGUAAAGAAGCACCGGCUAACUACGUG
This 468-nucleotide ribosomal RNA is filed under the name uncultured bacterium. Its description in RNAcentral is "partial 16S ribosomal RNA". It matches the Rfam family "Bacterial small subunit ribosomal RNA", at positions 28 to 507 of the family's 1533-position model. The record is from RNAcentral.